ACGAACGCUGGCGGCGUGCUUAACACAUGCAAGUCGCACGGAAAGGCCCUGCUUUUGUGGGGUGCUCGAGUGGCGAACGGGUGAGUAACACGUGAGUAACCUGCCCUUGACUUUGGGAUAACUUCAGGAAACUGGGGCUAAUACCGGAUAGGAGCUCCUGCUGCAUGGUGGGGGUUGGAAAGUUUCGGCGGUUGGGGAUGGACUCGCGGCUUAUCAGCUUGUUGGUGGGGUGGUGGCUUACCAAGGCUUUGACGGGUAGCCGGCCUGAGAGGGUGACCGGCCACAUUGGGACUGAGAUACGGCCCAGACUCCUACGGGAGGCAGCAGUGGGGAAUAUUGCACAAUGGGCGGAAGCCUGAUGCAGCAACGCCGCGUGCGGGAUGACGGCCUUCGGGUUGUAAACCGCUUUCGCCUGUGACGAAGCGUGAGUGACGGUAAUGGGUAAAGAAGCACCGGCUAACUACGUG
RNAcentral lists this ribosomal RNA (467 nucleotides) under uncultured bacterium. RNAcentral describes it as "partial 16S ribosomal RNA". It matches the Rfam family "Bacterial small subunit ribosomal RNA", at positions 29 to 507 of the family's 1533-position model. The record is from RNAcentral.